GGGGCGUAGCCAGAAGAAAACGAUGUGCAAGCAACUACUGCCGAGCGGAGCGAGGCGAAAAAAUUUUGGGACCCUUUAAUGCAGAAAAAUGUUUUUUUUUCGGUUUUCGGUCAUAGGACGGUUUAUAGAGGAGCUACAUGUAGAUAGGACUUAUAAACAAUUUAUGAACGUAAAACUAUUAAUACUUGAAUCUUCUGAAUAGAGUAAAUCAUGGUUAAUUUAAUACAUAAACAACACAUUUUUGAAUUACAGAAUUUACUCAACAUUGACCAAAAUCUGCUCUUCGGGUCUAAGCAGAAACGAACUUCUCUAUUACUUUGUCAACAUUCACACUGAAAUCCCGGUCAAUAUGCAGUAAUGCUAGCGAUGAUAACCUGACGUUGUUAAUUUUCAACAGACUUAAUAAACUGAUAGAUCUGCAUGGUAGCACUCGCGAGAUGUUAUAAACCAGCGUACGUGUUCUCCAUCGAGCGACCUCCCGAUUGAAAUUGUCCGCCAAAUACAUGCCAGGUCAUUUUGUAUGUCUCAAACAAUGUUGAGAAUUAUUCGUUGGUUAUAUGUCCUACAACACGAGGAAGCAGAUACGACACAAAGAAGCCAUUUUCUGAUAAUACCAGACAUCCUCUACUCUCCAAUUCCAUUAUCAUAUGGUCUUCGUGUGUGAACGCAAAAUAUAAUGAGACUUUCCAAUGCUCUUUUGGCGUGUUUUCAGGGUGAUUGGCUCUGGUAGUCUGUCGAAUACAUCGCCUCGGCAUAUUUUCAAUAAUAUCAAAUGGUUUCGAUAAAUCUCGAUUGGUACAUCGCAUCGCAAACAGAUAAGCCGUACUCUGUAAAAUGUGCUCCGAAACUACACGUCUUAGACUGAGUAUAAUAAAUUCAAAUCUGGUAAAAAAUACAAGUUACUGUCCGAUUUUUACAUGAUCUCUAAUAAAACGUUUAAUUUGAAAUGCCGUUAUUUAAUGAAAGUUCAUCAAUUAAAAAAGUAACAACAUAUGUGUUUCCUUUAACCACAAUUAAUUUAUAAAUUUUUAUUUUGGCAUUUAUUUUUUUUGCUUGCCGAAUCGAUGUGCACGCAACUGCGUGUUAGC
This 1088-nucleotide long non-coding RNA is filed under the name Mytilus galloprovincialis (Mediterranean mussel). The record is from RNAcentral. Lineage: Eukaryota; Metazoa; Mollusca; Bivalvia; Mytilida; Mytilidae.